This 412-nucleotide ribosomal RNA is filed under the name uncultured Methanosaeta sp. RNAcentral's name for it is "bacterial SSU rRNA". It matches the Rfam family "Archaeal small subunit ribosomal RNA", at positions 926 to 1338 of the family's 1478-position model. Lineage: Archaea; Methanobacteriati; Methanobacteriota; Methanomicrobia; Methanotrichales; Methanotrichaceae. The record is from RNAcentral.
UCGACCGGGGCGACAGCAAUAUGAAGGUCAGGCUGAAGACCUUACCGGAUUAGCUGAGAGGUGGUGCAUGGCCGUCGUCAGUUCGUACUGUGAAGCAUCCUGUUAAGUCAGGCAACGAGCGAGACCCACGUCCACAGUUGCCAGCAUACCCUCCGGGGUGAUGGGUACACUGUGGAGACCGCCGCUGCUAAAGCGGAGGAAGGAAUGGGCAACGGUAGGUCAGUAUGCCCCGAAUCUCCCGGGCUACACGCGGGCUACAAUGGUUGGUACAAUGGGCAUCUACCCCGAAAGGGGAAGGAAAUCUCUUAAAGCCAAUCGUAGUUCGGAUUGAGGGCUGCAACUCGCCCUCAUGAAGCUGGAAUCCGUAGUAAUCGCGUUUCAACAGAACGCGGUGAAUACGUCCCUGCUCCUU